RNAcentral lists this unclassified non-coding RNA (248 nucleotides) under uncultured Eurotiomycetes. Its description in RNAcentral is "sequence contains ITS2". The stretch from base 1 to 52 matches the Rfam family "5.8S ribosomal RNA", at positions 103 to 154 of the family's 154-position model. Lineage: Eukaryota; Fungi; Ascomycota; Eurotiomycetes. The record is from RNAcentral.
AACGCAUAUUGCGCCCUUUGGUAUUCCGAAGGGCAUGCCUGUUCGAGCGUCAUUAUCAACCCUCAAGCCUGGCUUGUCAUUGAACCUCAUGGUCGUUAAAAGACAGGUUCGAAAGAUAAUGACGGUGUCGCGAUCGACCCUAGAUGCAACGAGCUUCACAGCACGCAUGUUAGUGGCCGGCCGGCCCCGGUCUUAACCCUAUUUCAAUGGUUGACCUCGGAUCAGGUAGGAAUACCCGCUGAACUUAA